AGUUUGGAUCUCAGGAGCCAGGGACCAAUGAACAGAUUGUUGAGUUUGCCUGUACUGGCUUCAAGGCUGAGUAUCCUAUAUUUGACAAGGUAGUAACUGAAGUUUGAAUUGCUCUACAAUUUUAUGACAUGGUAAGAAUAUUACUUUCCCUGUUGUCUUUUGGUCCCCUGUAUUAGGGUUGGCCAUUGGUCCAGACCGGAAUCAGUGGUUCUAAUUCAAGGUUUAGGAGGACAGGAACCAGACCACAAAGUCAUCUUGAUUUCGAUUCAAUUCAGUUUGGUCCAAUUUUAAUUAAAUUUUAACAGUUGAAAUUUUAUCAAUACUUUUAUUUUUUGAAAAAAAGAAAAAAAAAUCUGAUUUUGACCCAUAACUAGAUUGGCCAUUCUGGUGCGGUUCCUAACCAGACUAUGGCCGGGUCUACUUGCUCUCUAUUAUUUUGAACUUCAGACAUAUCUUCAUAGAGCUUGGCAAACCAUGUCAAUAUUUUGAUUAAUUCCUUUCUCAUACUGUUGAUAGGUUGAUGUGAAUGCAAAGAAUGCUGCUCCUCUUUGCAAAUUCUUGAAAUCUAGAAAAGGUGGAAUUUUGGGGAAUAGCAUCAAGUGGAAUUUUUCCAAGUUCCUGGUUGAUAAAGAUGGCAAUGU
This 641-nucleotide unclassified non-coding RNA is filed under the name Hevea brasiliensis (rubber tree). The record is from RNAcentral. Lineage: Eukaryota; Viridiplantae; Streptophyta; Magnoliopsida; Malpighiales; Euphorbiaceae.